UACGUAGGGAGCAAGCGUUGUCCGGAAUCAUUGGGCGUAAAGCGCGCGUAGGCGGCCCUGUAAGUCCGUUGUGAAAGUCAAAGGCUCAACCUUUGAAAGCCGAUGGAUACUGCAGGGCUAGAGUCCGGAAGAGGCGAGUGGAAUUCCUGGUGUAGCGGUGGAAUGCGCAGAUAUCAGGAGGAACACCGAUAGCGAAGGCAGCUCGCUGGGACGGUACUGACGCUAAGGCGCGAAAGCGUGGGGAGCGAACAGG
This 253-nucleotide ribosomal RNA is filed under the name uncultured bacterium. RNAcentral describes it as "partial 16S ribosomal RNA". It matches the Rfam family "Bacterial small subunit ribosomal RNA", at positions 524 to 776 of the family's 1533-position model. The record is from RNAcentral.